CUUUCAUCCAAAGCGACUUACAAAUGAGGAACAUCACAAGCAAUUUAUCAUACAAGAGGCAACAAUAUCCACAGUACCGCAACGAGUUUCAAGUUUCAAGAUAACUCUGAAUGUUGCGCGUUCUGCGGCUGCCAAGAGGAGCUUAAACUCUCAUCAGACUUUGCCACGUAGACACGGACUGUCUAAGUCCAGCAUGCCUCUGCUGGAAUUCAUUGAGAACGACACUUCCAGAAGAUUCCACCUCCAGAGUGACAACCUUGCGGGUCAAAUGCAAUAAUCCAGAAAUCCACUCUACAUCGACUAAAAGCCGGGUUGUUCUCUCCUGAGGUGCUGGAUGUGUCUGCAAGAUCACUGCAGGGC
Triplophysa dalaica is the source of this 360-nucleotide long non-coding RNA. RefSeq lists it as uncharacterized. The transcript has 3 exons. NCBI's taxonomy places the organism in Eukaryota, Metazoa, Chordata, Actinopteri, Cypriniformes, Nemacheilidae. The record is from RefSeq and is a predicted model, not a curated record.